This 542-nucleotide ribosomal RNA is filed under the name fungal sp. GZ-2010g. Its description in RNAcentral is "eukaryotic LSU rRNA". The stretch from base 207 to 359 matches the Rfam family "5.8S ribosomal RNA". The record is from RNAcentral. Lineage: Eukaryota; Fungi.
GGAAGUAAAAGUCGUGGAAGUAAAAGUCGUAACAAGGUAUCGGUUGGUGAACCAGCGGAGGGAUCAUUACAGAGUUUACAACUCCCAAACCCCUGUGAACUUACCAGGGAGUAGCCUCGGCGGUGAAACGGUCCGCGAGCCCCCCAGAGGCCCCAACAAUGUUUUGUUUUUUUAGUAUUAUAGGAGUGACAAGUUAAAUAAAUCAAAACUUUCAACAACGGAUCUUUUGGUUCUGGCAUCGAUGAAGAACGCAGAAAAAUGAUAUAAGUAAUGUGAACAGAGAAUUCAGUGAAUCAUCGAAUCUUUGAACGCACAUUGCGCCCAGUAGUAUUCUGGCGGGCAUGCUUGGAGGAGCGUCACUUCAAUCAUCAAACCGCCCGGGUUGGUGGGGGUGAUCGGCAUGAAGCCCUGGCGGGUGCCGUCCCCCUACCAAAGUGGCGGGCGGUCUGCAGGUAGCAUCGUGUAGUUGGUAACACCCCUCGCAUGGAGAAGCAGCAAGCCCCGCCCGAAACCCCCACACUUCUGAAGUUGACCUCGAAUCA